CGUCUCAGUUCGGACUGUGGUCUGCAACCCGACCACACGAAGCUGGAAUCGCUAGUAAUCGUGAAUCAGAAUGUCGCGGUGAAUACGUUCCCGGGUCUUGUACACACCGCCCGUCACACCAUGGGAGUCGGAAAUGCCCGAAGUCAGUGACCUAACCGAAAGGGAGGAGCUGCCGAAGGUGGAGCCGGUAACUGGGGUGAAGUCGUAACAAGGUAUC
Molecule: ribosomal RNA, 217 nt
Filed under: uncultured bacterium
Lineage: Bacteria
Description: partial 16S ribosomal RNA
Rfam family: Bacterial small subunit ribosomal RNA
Source: RNAcentral